GGUCAGAGUUAGCCAUUCAUACAUUUCUUCAGCUUCAAAUUAGGGUCUAAACAUAUAUCAGAGAUACCUACCUUCCAUGUUUUUUUUUGGUUUUUCGUUUUUUUG
RNAcentral lists this small RNA (105 nucleotides) under Arabidopsis thaliana (thale cress). RNAcentral's name for it is "ATSL301110". The record is from RNAcentral. Lineage: Eukaryota; Viridiplantae; Streptophyta; Magnoliopsida; Brassicales; Brassicaceae.